This 300-nucleotide ribosomal RNA is filed under the name uncultured Methanofollis sp. RNAcentral's name for it is "bacterial SSU rRNA". It matches the Rfam family "Bacterial small subunit ribosomal RNA", at positions 496 to 795 of the family's 1533-position model. Lineage: Archaea; Methanobacteriati; Methanobacteriota; Methanomicrobia; Methanomicrobiales; Methanomicrobiaceae. The record is from RNAcentral.
UCAACCGACGUGCCAGGGGCGGCGGUAGUACGUAGGGUUGUAGGUUUAUCCUGAAUCCGUGGGGGUAAGGGCGGCGUGGGCGGCGCGUUAAGUGGGAUGUGAAACCGUGUGGCUCAACCAGAUCGUGGCAUCGCAUACUGGCGCGCUAGAGGACGGCAGAGGCAAGUGGAAUUGGUAGUGUAGCAGUGAAAUGCGUAGAUAUUACCAGGAACACCAAUGGCGAAGGCAGCUUGCUGGGCCGACCCUGACGCUGAGGUACGAAAGCGUGGGGAGCGAACAGGAUUAGAUACCCUUGUAGUC